UCGAGAAUCUUCCGCAAUGGACGAAAGUCUGACGGAGCGACGCCGCGUGAUGGAUGAAGUCCCUCUGGGACGUAAACAUCUUUUAUGAGGGAGAAAGUUUAUUGAUAGUACCUCACGAAUAAGGGGUUGCUAAACUCGUGCCAGCAGCAGCGGUAAUACGAGUGCCCCGAGCGUUAUCCGGAAUCAUUGGGCGCAAAGGGUGUGUAGGUGGCAUUGUUAGUCACACGUUAAACCCUGGGGCUUAACCCCAGAUCUGCGUGUGAUACGGCAAAGCUAGAGGAUGGCAGGGAUGUAUGGAACUCAUGGAGUAGGGGUGAAAUCCGUUGAUAUCAUGGGGAACACCGAAAGCGAAGGCAGUACAUUGGGCCACUCCUGACACUGAAACACGAAAGCGUAGGUAGCGAAUGGGAUUAGAUACCCACGUAGUCCCUGAGCGGGCUGGCAAGGCGCAU
This 452-nucleotide ribosomal RNA is filed under the name uncultured bacterium. RNAcentral describes it as "bacterial SSU rRNA". It matches the Rfam family "Bacterial small subunit ribosomal RNA", at positions 355 to 825 of the family's 1533-position model. The record is from RNAcentral.